This 253-nucleotide ribosomal RNA is filed under the name uncultured bacterium. RNAcentral describes it as "partial 16S ribosomal RNA". It matches the Rfam family "Bacterial small subunit ribosomal RNA", at positions 524 to 776 of the family's 1533-position model. The record is from RNAcentral.
GACGGAGGAUGCAAGCGUUAUCCGGAAUUAUUGGGCGUAAAGCGUCCGCAGGUGGCAGUUCAAGUCUGCUGCCAAAGACCGGGGCUUAACUUCGGAAAGGCAGUGGAAACUGAACAGCUAGAGUAUGGUAGGGGCAGAGGGAAUUCCUGGUGUAGCGGUGAAAUGCGUAGAGAUCAGGAAGAACAUCGGUGGCGAAGGCGCUCUGCUGGACCAUAACUGACACUCAGGGACGAAAGCUAGGGGAGCGAAUGGG